AGAGUUUGAUCAUGGCUCAGGAUGAACGCUAGCUACAGGCUUAACACAUGCAAGUCGAGGGGCAGCAUGUUGGUUGCUUGCAACCAAUGAUGGCGACCGGCGCACGGGUGAGUAACGCGUAUCCAACCUACCCUUGUCCAUCGGAUAACCCGUCGAAAGGCGGCCUAACACGAUAUGCGGUUCUCAGCAGGCAUCUAACGAGAACGAAACGUGAAGGAGAAGGAUGGGGAUGCGUCUGAUUAGCUUGUUGGCGGGGUAACGCCACCAAGGCGACGAUCAGUAGGGGUCUGAGAGGAAGGUCCCCACAUUGGAACUGAGACACGGUCCAAACUCCUACGGGACGGCA
This 346-nucleotide ribosomal RNA is filed under the name uncultured bacterium. Its description in RNAcentral is "bacterial SSU rRNA". It matches the Rfam family "Bacterial small subunit ribosomal RNA", at positions 8 to 350 of the family's 1533-position model. The record is from RNAcentral.